Molecule: non-coding RNA, 46 nt
Organism: Perkinsus marinus ATCC 50983
Lineage: Eukaryota; Perkinsozoa; Perkinsida; Perkinsidae
Source: Rfam
UCCAAGGCGUUUCUCAACGCCAUCCUCCUCCUUGUUAUAAAAUAAU